Molecule: ribosomal RNA, 468 nt
Filed under: uncultured bacterium
Lineage: Bacteria
Description: partial 16S ribosomal RNA
Rfam family: Bacterial small subunit ribosomal RNA
Source: RNAcentral
GACGAACGCUGGCGGCGUGCUUAACACAUGCAAGUCGAACGGAAAGGCCCUGCUUUUGUGGGGUUCUCGAGUGGCGAACGGGUGAGUAACACGUGAGUAACCUGCCCUUGACUUUGGGAUAACUUCAGGAAACUGGGGCUAAUACCGGAUAGAAGCUCCUGCUGCAUGGUGGGGGUUGGAAAGUUUCGGCGGUUGGGGAUGGACUCGCGGCUUAUCAGCUUGUUGGUGGGGUAGUGGCUUACCAAGGCUUUGACGGGUAGCCGGCCUGAGAGGGUGACCGGCCACAUUGGGACUGAGAUACGGCCCAGACUCCUACGGGAGGCAGCAGUGGGGAAUAUUGCACAAUGGGCGGAAGCCUGAUGCAGCAACGCCGCGUGCGGGAUGACGGCCUUCGGGUUGUAAACCGCUUUCGCCUGUGACGAAGCGUGAGUGACGGUAAUGGGUAAAGAAGCACCGGCUAACUACGUG